Molecule: ribosomal RNA, 450 nt
Filed under: uncultured bacterium
Lineage: Bacteria
Description: partial 16S ribosomal RNA
Rfam family: Bacterial small subunit ribosomal RNA
Source: RNAcentral
GUGGGGAAUAUUGGACAAUGGGCGAAAGCCUGAUCCAGCCAUGCCGCGUGUGUGAAGAAGGUCUUCGGAUUGUAAAGCACUUUAAGUUGGGAGGAAGGGCAGUAAGUUAAUACCUUGCUGUUUUGACGUUACCAACAGAAUAAGCACCGGCUAACUUCGUGCCAGCAGCCGCGGUAAUACGAAGGGUGCAAGCGUUAAUCGGAAUUACUGGGCGUAAAGCGCGCGUAGGUGGUUCAGCAAGUUGAAGGUGAAAUCCCCGGGCUCAACCUGGGAACUGCCUCCAAAACUACUGAGCUAGAGUACGGUAGAGGGUAGUGGAAUUUCCGGUGUAGCGGUGAAAUGCGUAGAUAUAGGAAGGAACACCAGUGGCGAAGGCGACUACCUGGACUGAUACUGACACUGAGGUGCGAAAGCGUGGGGAGCAAACAGGAUUAGAUACCCGCGUAGUCC